Molecule: transfer RNA, 73 nt
Filed under: Trichonephila clavipes
Lineage: Eukaryota; Metazoa; Arthropoda; Arachnida; Araneae; Nephilidae
Rfam family: tRNA
About the family: Transfer RNA (tRNA) molecules are approximately 80 nucleotides in length. Their secondary structure includes four short double-helical elements and three loops (D, anti-codon, and T loops).
Source: Rfam by way of RNAcentral
GUCCCUGUAGCGCAAUGGAUAGCGGGUUGAACUUCUAAUCCAAAGGUCGUGGGUUUGAAUCCCAUCUGGGAUG